UGACGUAUGCAGGUUUACAGUUCU
This 24-nucleotide non-coding RNA is filed under the name Mus musculus (house mouse). Lineage: Eukaryota; Metazoa; Chordata; Mammalia; Rodentia; Muridae. The record is from RNAcentral.